This 511-nucleotide ribosomal RNA is filed under the name uncultured bacterium. RNAcentral describes it as "bacterial SSU rRNA". It matches the Rfam family "Bacterial small subunit ribosomal RNA", at positions 36 to 518 of the family's 1533-position model. The record is from RNAcentral.
CUGGCGGCGUGCCUAAUACAUGCAAGUCGAACGGUCUUUCUAUGGAAGCUUGCUCCACUGAGAAGAUAGUGGCGAACGGGUGAGUAACACGUGGGUAACCUGCCCAUAAGAGGGGGAGUAACGAUCCGGAAACGGGUGCUAAUACCGCAUAGUUUUCUUGAUCGCAUGAUCGGGAAAGGAAAGACGGCCUUUGUGCUGUCGCUUAUGGAUGGACCCGCGGCGUAUUAGUUAGUUGGUGAGGUAACGGCUCACCAAGACGAUGAUACGUAGCCGACCUGAGAGGGUGAUCGGCCACAUUGGGACUGAGACACGGCCCAAACUCCUACGGGAGGCAGCAGUAGGGAAUCUUCCGCAAUGGACGAAAGUCUGACGGAGCAACGCCGCGUGAGUGAAAGAAGGUUUUUCGGAUCGUAAAACUCUGUUGUCAGAGAAGAACAAGUUGGAGAGUAACUGCUCCAGCCUUGACGGUAUCUGACCAGAAAGCCACGGCUAACUACGUGCCAGCCGCCGC